UGGGCUUGACAUGGUGCUGCAAGCGCACGGAAACGUGUGACCUUCGAGGGUGCACCACAGAUGCUGCAUGGCUGUCGUCAGCUCGUGUCGUGAGAUGUUGGGUUAAGUCCCGCAACGAGCGCAACCCUUGUCGCGUGUUGCCAGCAUUAAGUUGGGGACUCACGCGAGACUGCCGGUGACAAACCGGAGGAAGGUGGGGAUGACGUGUCCUUGAUAGG
This 218-nucleotide unclassified non-coding RNA is filed under the name uncultured Rubrobacterales bacterium. RNAcentral's name for it is "contains 16S-23S intergenic spacer region". It matches the Rfam family "Bacterial small subunit ribosomal RNA", at positions 976 to 1199 of the family's 1533-position model. Lineage: Bacteria; Bacillati; Actinomycetota; Rubrobacteria; Rubrobacterales. The record is from RNAcentral.